AUUCCAUGAUGGGGACAAUCUAGGAUGUAGUCUUGGAAGCGCUCCCAUGCCUCUGGAACGGAUUCAUCAUGUUGUUGCUGAAAACUUGUAAUCUUCCCACGGAUAUG
Molecule: small nucleolar RNA, 107 nt
Filed under: Sorghum bicolor (sorghum)
Lineage: Eukaryota; Viridiplantae; Streptophyta; Magnoliopsida; Poales; Poaceae
Description: Plant small nucleolar RNA R71
Rfam family: Plant small nucleolar RNA R71
About the family: R71 is a member of the C/D box family of snoRNAs containing the C (UGAUGA) and D (CUGA) box motifs. Multiple nearly identical copies of this snoRNA have been identified in Arabidopsis, and it is thought to function as a 2'-O-ribose methylation guide for 18S ribosomal RNA.
Source: Rfam by way of RNAcentral